RNAcentral lists this ribosomal RNA (440 nucleotides) under uncultured bacterium. RNAcentral's name for it is "partial 16S ribosomal RNA". It matches the Rfam family "Bacterial small subunit ribosomal RNA", at positions 338 to 795 of the family's 1533-position model. The record is from RNAcentral.
CCUACGGGUGGCAGCAGUAGGGAAUAUUGCUCAAUGGGGGAAACCCUGAAGCAGCAACGCCGCGUGGAGGAUGAAGGUUUUCGGAUUGUAAACUCCUUUUGUUAGAGAAGAUAAUGACGGUAUCUAACGAAUAAGCACCGGCUAACUCCGUGCCAGCAGCCGCGGUAAUACGGAGGGUGCAAGCGUUACUCGGAAUCACUGGGCGUAAAGAGGGCGUAGGCGGGUUAGCAAGUCAGAUGUGAAAUCGUAUGGGUUAACCAUAGAACUGCAUUUGAAACUGGUAUUCUUGAGUAUGGGAGAGGUAGGUGGAAUUCUUGGUGUAGGGGUGAAAUCCGUAGAGAUCAAGAGGAAUACUCAUUGCGAAGGCGACCUGCUAGAACAUAACUGACGCUGAUGCGCGAAAGCGUGGGGAGCAAACAGGAUUAGAUACCCUUGUAGUC